RNAcentral lists this ribosomal RNA (427 nucleotides) under uncultured Pseudomonadaceae bacterium. RNAcentral describes it as "partial 16S ribosomal RNA". It matches the Rfam family "Bacterial small subunit ribosomal RNA", at positions 356 to 774 of the family's 1533-position model. The record is from RNAcentral. Lineage: Bacteria; Pseudomonadati; Pseudomonadota; Gammaproteobacteria; Pseudomonadales; Pseudomonadaceae.
GGGGAAUAUUGGACAAUGGGCGAAAGCAUGAUCCAGCCAUGCCGCGUGUGUGAAGAAGGUCUUCGGAUUGUAAAGCACUUUAAGUUGGGAGGAAGGGCUGCAAGUUAAUACCUUGUAGUUUUGACGUUACCAACAGAAUAAGCACCGGCUAACUUCGUGCCAGCAGCCGCGGUAAUACGAAGGGUGCAAGCGUUAAUCGGAAUUACUGGGCGUAAAGCGCGCGUAGGUGGUUUGGUAAGAUGGAUGUGAAAUCCCCGGGCUCAACCUGGGGAACCGCUCCAGUAACUGCGGGACUAGGGAGGGGGGAGGGGUGGGGAAUUUCCCGUGGUGGAGGGAAAAUGCGUAGAUAGAGGAAGAACAAACAGGGGCGAGGGAGACCACUGGGACUAUUACUGACACGGGGGGGCGAAAGCGGGGGGGGAAAACG